Molecule: non-coding RNA, 2183 nt
Organism: Prunus avium (sweet cherry)
Lineage: Eukaryota; Viridiplantae; Streptophyta; Magnoliopsida; Rosales; Rosaceae
Source: RefSeq, a predicted model, not a curated record
AUAAGAUUAUAAAAAUAGGCUACAAAUACAAAGACAUGAAAUAAAAGAACCCACAGAUCACAGAAGGGAAACCUCCAAAAACCCAAAUACCGAAUCGAAGGCUCAGAGAGAGAGAGAGAGAGAGAGAGAGAGGGACAACAAGAAACACAACUAGAAGACCCGUAGAAGGAGGGCAAAGAGGAAGGACAAAUGGGUAGGAAGAAGAAGAGGGUUUCGUCGAAGGUUUGGUGCUACUACUGUGAUAGAGAAUUUGACGAUGAGAAGAUACUGGUGCAGCACCAGAAAGCUAAGCACUUCAAGUGCCAUGUCUGCCACAAGAAGCUAUCAACCGCUGGUGGCAUGGCCAUUCAUGUCCUCCAGGUCCACAAAGAGAGCGUCACCAAAGUUCCCAAUGCAAAGACUGGAAGAGAGUCGACGGAUAUUGAAAUAUAUGGGAUGCAAGGAAUCCCACCUGACGUCUUGGCUGCACAUUAUGGAGAGGAAGAUGAGGACGCUCCAUCAAAAGUAGCUAAAGUGGACAUCCCGUCAACCCAGUUUGUUGGUGGUAUGGUACCAGGUUCGAUGGGGAUUGGAUAUCCUCCCCAACCAGCUUUGGGUGCAAUCCGGCCAAUUUACAGUCCUGCAGUUCCAAUGCCUCCAAAUGCUUGGCAACCUCGUCCCCAGCCAUGGUUUCCACAACUUCCCUCAGUCUCAAUUCCUCCUCCUUCCUCAUUGGGUUAUGUGCCGCAGCCAUUGUUUCCUGUGCAGAAUGUGAGGCCACCCCCACCAUCAUCAACCCCUGCACAUCUGCCAUCACAUAUAACUCCACCUGGACUUCCUACAUCCAUGCCUCCUGUUCCUGUAUCACAACCUCUGUUUCCUGUUGUUGGUAUAAAUAAUGUACCAACUCAAAGUUCUCCCUUUUCAGCUCCUAUGCUUUCAACUAGUAUUCUCUCAAAUUCUCCAGCUGAACUUAAAGGCUCAACAGAUGCACAUCAAGGUGGGACCUUAAUUAAUUCACACUCUUAUGCAUCUGGUCCAAAUACUGGUGGUCCAUCAAUUGGACCACCCCCUGUAAUUGCAAACAAAGCUCCUGCUCCUCAGCCAGCCGCUAAUGAGGUGUAUCUGGUUUGGGAUGAUGAGGCUAUGUCCAUGGAGGAAAGAAGAAUGUCCUUAGUGAAGUAUCAGGUGCAUGAUGAAACUAGCCAGGUAAGUCAUACUACCUCUUUAAUUUACGGAGUUGGAUUGCUCUAACCAGAUAGGUAGGCUUUAUGUUUUUUUUUUUUGGUUUGGAAAAGGAGGUAGGCUUUAUGUUGUCUUUUCAGAUUGGCUUGUUUACCAAUUUUUCCUGUUUAGAGAGGCAUAUACUGUAUGAAUUUGAACUUUUUUCUUUUGAAAAGAAAAUUUUAGCAAAGAACAUGUGAACCUUUUAGUCCUCCAUCUUUCUGCUUUCCAACCCUUGGUUGAUGGGCAUGCUGUUUUGUUUAAACUGCCAUUUCUCGGGUUUCCACGCAACUGCAUCAAAAGGUUCAAGUAGGUAUUUACAUUAUUUUUGCUGUUAGUUAGUAAUUACAAUUUUGACAAGCUUGCUGCAAUGGGCUCAAGGAUUCUUCUACCUAGCAUCGUACUCAGUUAAGUACGGAAUCUAUGUAUUUGUUCUUUUAAAAUUUGGAUUUAUCUGUUGUUAUUCACUCUCCCUAUGCUUUCUUUUGGGGCGUGGGGAUUUGAGUGAAACAAGAUCAAGCCCAACAGAUUUUUGUUUAAUUGUAGCAACAUUACUUUAUUAUUGAACAGUGAAACCAGACUUGGCACAGAUGAGUUCAAUUGAUGCAGCCAUAGACAGAAGGAUUUUGGAGAGCCGGCUCGCUGGCCGGAUGGCAUUUUAGAUCAAAUAGCAGCGAUGGGCCAAUGGCAUUGUAUGCACUGUUGGAAUCUCACGCUGAUGUAUGGACCUUGGAAUGUCAUGCUGAUGUGUGGUCCAUGUUUCGCCUAGUUUAUUUGAUGAGCAAGGCGGGUUCUUUGGUUUGUCUUGCAAGUAAAACCAGUCAUACCUUUGUGUUGUAUUCUUUGCAAGAAUGUGAGGUGGAAGGGAAAAUUAUUUUAAGUUAUGAUAUUCUUUUUUCCAUUUUCCCUUUCGCUUGCUCCCAUAGAUUUUGAUGUAAACCUUUUAGGAUAUGUUCAUUUGAAGGAUUUCAUUUACUUCC